This is a non-coding RNA of Castor canadensis (American beaver), 513 nucleotides long. The record is from the annotation of a RefSeq genome assembly. Lineage: Eukaryota; Metazoa; Chordata; Mammalia; Rodentia; Castoridae.
GAGGAGCCCAGCCCUGAAUAGUAGCUGACCCCAUUCAUUGAUUAGCCCUGGCACAGACCACUCACCAUGGAGUUAGUGCUGACCUGGAUUUUCUUUGUAGCUAUUUUUAAAGGUGUCCAGUGUGAGGUGCAGCUGGUGGAGUCUGGGGGAGGCUUGGUGCAGCCAGGAGGGGCUCUGAAACUCUCAUGUGCAGCCUCUGGAUUCACCUUCAGUAGCUAUGCCAUGAGCUGGGUCCUUCAGGCUCCAGGAAAGGGACUGGAGUGGAUUGCAGGAAUUAGCAACAGUGGUGGUAGCACAUACUACGCAGACUCUGUGAAGGGCCGAUUCACCAUCUCCAGAGACAAUAACAAGAACCAGCUGUAUCUGCAAAUGAACAGCCUGAGAGCCGAGGACACAGCCGUGUAUUACUGUACAACAGGCACAGUGAGGAGACUUCAGUGUGAGCCCAGACAUAAAACUCCCUGUAGUGCUCUGCGUGACCAGAAGGUGGUUGUCUGCACACAUUGUUCUUAG